UGGGGAAUAUUGCACAAUGGGCGAAAGCCUGAUGCAGCGACGCCGCGUGAGGGAUGACGGCCUGCGUGUUGUAAACCUCUUUCAGCAGGGACGAAGCGCAAGUUACGGUACCUGCAGAAGAAGCACCGGCUAACUACGUGCCAGCAGCCGCGGUAAUACGUAGGGUGCAAGCGUUGUCCGGAAUUACUGGGCGUAAAGAGUUCGUAGGCGGUUUGUCGCGUCGUUUGUGAAAACCAGCAGCUCAACUGCUGGCUUGCAGGCGAUACGAGCAGACUUGAGUACUGCAGGGGAGACUAGAAUUCCUGGUGUAGCGGUGAAAUGCGCAGAUAUCAGGAGGAACACCGGUGGCGAAGGCGGGUCUCUGGGCAGUAACUGACGCUGAGGAACGAAAGCGUGGGUAGCGAACAGG
RNAcentral lists this ribosomal RNA (409 nucleotides) under bacterium. Its description in RNAcentral is "partial 16S ribosomal RNA". It matches the Rfam family "Bacterial small subunit ribosomal RNA", at positions 355 to 776 of the family's 1533-position model. The record is from RNAcentral.